UACGAAGGGUGCAAGCGUUGCUCGGAGUUAUUGGGCGUAAAGGGUAGGUAGGUGGUGACAUUUGUCUGGGGUGAAAUCCCUGAGCUUAACUCAGGAAGUGCCUUGGAAACGGUGUCACUAGAGUGCUGGAGAGGUUCGCAGAAUUCUUGGUGUAGCGGUGAAAUGCGUAGAGAUCAAGAGGAAUACCAGAGGCGAAGGCGGCGAACUGGACAGUUACUGACACUGAACUACGAAAGCGUGGGGAGCAAACAGG
This 253-nucleotide ribosomal RNA is filed under the name uncultured bacterium. RNAcentral's name for it is "partial 16S ribosomal RNA". It matches the Rfam family "Bacterial small subunit ribosomal RNA", at positions 524 to 776 of the family's 1533-position model. The record is from RNAcentral.